AAAAAUGAGUGCAUCACCUUCUUCCAAUAUGCUGAUCUCAUCAUUACUAAUCUUGGUGUAAUAUAUCAUUCAGAAUUCCAAAUCAUCACUAUAUUCUUUAUAGGGAAUGAUUUUCCCGAUGUUCACACCGUAGUGAGAGAUCCGAGACGAUAUAUGCAUGGUUCUAGCAUAGCACGUGGAUGCGUGGUUUGUUGGUCCAUAUUUUCUUCUUCAUCUUCUUCCUUUCUCAUGAUACCAGCCAAAACCAAGUAAGUCUGGAAGGAUGGCGAAUAAUAAUACAAAAAGUAAAGCCACUUUCGAUAUUAGCAACAAUGGCGAUGACAUAAAUUAAACGUCAUACAUUAUUUUUCUCGAGUAGACAGUAUAUGUAUAUUUUGAAUUUUAAGAUAUAAAAACUCGAAUAAGAUCCAAGAGGCAACAAUAUCUCGGCACCCGCAGUUGGUCUAGAUUAAAAGGAAUUAAUACCUUAUUUUAUUAAAAAAAUUAUUUAAUCUCAUUUUGUAAGCUGUCUCUCAUCAUUAAUCGAUCUUAAAUAAGAUAAUAUCAUAUAUAAUUCAUGCUUUCAUUUGCUACUAAGCUCAUGCUUUCUUUUGCUUCUAAGCAUGUUUCAAUGAUUGGAG
Molecule: long non-coding RNA, 620 nt
Filed under: Eutrema salsugineum
Lineage: Eukaryota; Viridiplantae; Streptophyta; Magnoliopsida; Brassicales; Brassicaceae
Description: long non-coding RNA (ESAL_LNC000085)
Source: RNAcentral